CCUACGGGAGACAGCAGUAGGGAAUAUUGCUCAAUGGGGGAAACCCUGAAGCAGCAACGCCGCGUGGAGGAUGCAGGUUUUAGGAUUGUAAACUCCUUUUGUGUGAGAAGAUAAUGACGGUAUCUCACGAAUAAGCACCGGCUAACUCCGUGCCCGCAGCCGCGGUAUUACGGGGGGUGCAAGCGUUACUCGGAAGCUCUGGGCGUAAAGCGUGCGCCGGCGGGCUUGUAAGUCAGAUGUGAAAUCCUGUAGCUUAACUACCGAACGGCAUUUGAAACUAUGAGUCUAGAGUGUGGGAGAGGUAGGUGGAAUUCUUGGUGUAGGGGUAAAAUCCGUAGAUAUCAAGAGGAAUACUCAUUGCGAAGGCGACCUACUGGAACAUUACUGACGCUCAUGCACGAAAGCGUGGGGAGCAAACAGGAUGAGAUACCCGAGUAGUC
RNAcentral lists this ribosomal RNA (440 nucleotides) under uncultured bacterium. RNAcentral describes it as "partial 16S ribosomal RNA". It matches the Rfam family "Bacterial small subunit ribosomal RNA", at positions 338 to 795 of the family's 1533-position model. The record is from RNAcentral.